RNAcentral lists this transfer RNA (73 nucleotides) under Mytilus galloprovincialis (Mediterranean mussel). Lineage: Eukaryota; Metazoa; Mollusca; Bivalvia; Mytilida; Mytilidae. The record is from RNAcentral.
CACUCUGUGGCGCAAUUGGUAGCGUGCUCGCCUUCAAGAGUGGGAGACCAGGGUUUGAUCCCCGGUCGGGUCA